RNAcentral lists this ribosomal RNA (432 nucleotides) under Triticum aestivum (bread wheat). Its description in RNAcentral is "partial small subunit ribosomal RNA". The record is from RNAcentral. Lineage: Eukaryota; Viridiplantae; Streptophyta; Magnoliopsida; Poales; Poaceae.
AUGGGUUCGCCGGUUCCCUUUCCACGGGAGCAGCAGCAGCUGGUGUUGUACCUGUACGCGGCCGUCGCGUGGUGCACCGUGCGGGCGCUGGAGUGGGCGUGGUGGAGGCCCCGGCGCCUGGACCGGGCGCUGCGGUCGCAGGGUCUCCGCGGCACGGCGUACCGCCCGGUGGCCGGCGACGUGCCACUGAGCCAGCGGCUCAACAGGGAGGCGAGGUCCCGGACCAUGCCGCUGGGCUGCCAAGACGUCGUGCCGCGGGCGAUGCCGCUCCUCCAUCAGGCCGCGAACGAGCACGGUACGUACUACUCCCUUCGUUCGGAAUUACUUGUCGAAAAAAUGGAUGUAUCUAGUUGUAUUUUAAUUCUAAAUACAUCUAUUUUCAAAACAAGUAAUUUUGAGUACUUUACCUUCGAAAUUUUUGUGAUCUUAUGA